Molecule: ribosomal RNA, 520 nt
Filed under: uncultured bacterium
Lineage: Bacteria
Description: bacterial SSU rRNA
Rfam family: Bacterial small subunit ribosomal RNA
Source: RNAcentral
CUACGGGGGAAAGCAGGGGAUCUUCGGACCUUGCGCUAUCAGAUGAGCCUGCGUCGGAUUAGCUGGUUGGUGGGGUAAAGGCCUACCAAGGCGACGAUCCGUAGCUGGUCUGAGAGGAUGAUCAGCCACACUGGGACUGAGACACGGCCCAGACUCCUACGGGAGGCAGCAGUGGGGAAUAUUGCACAAUGGGCGAAAGCCUGAUGCAGCCAUGCCGCGUGUGUGAAGAAGGCCCUAGGGUUGUAAAGCACUUUCAGUGGGGAGGAAAGGUUGCUGGUUAAUACCCAGCAGCUGUGACGUUACCCACAGAAGAAGCACCGGCUAACUCCGUGCCAGCAGCCGCGGUAAUACGGAGGGUGCGAGCGUUAAUCGGAAUUACUGGGCGUAAAGCGUGCGUAGGCGGCUACCUAAGUUGGAUGUGAAAGCCCCGGGCUCAACCUGGGAACUGCAUCCAAAACUGGGUGGCUAGAGUACGGGAGAGGAGUGUGGAAUUUCCUGUGUAGCGGUGAAAUGCGUAGAU